RNAcentral lists this ribosomal RNA (429 nucleotides) under Actinomycetes bacterium. Its description in RNAcentral is "Actinobacteria bacterium partial 16S ribosomal RNA". It matches the Rfam family "Bacterial small subunit ribosomal RNA", at positions 355 to 776 of the family's 1533-position model. The record is from RNAcentral. Lineage: Bacteria; Bacillati; Actinomycetota; Actinomycetes.
UAGGGAAUCUUCCGCAAUGGGCGAAAGCCUGACGGAGCAACGCCGCGUGAGUGAUGAAGGUCUUCGGAUCGUAAAACUCUGUUAUUAGGGAAGAACAAAUGUGUAAGUAACUAUGCACGUCUUGACGGUACCUAAUCAGAAAGCCACGGCUAACUACGUGCCAGCAGCCGCGGUAAUACGUAGGUGGUAAGCGUUAUCCGGAAUUAUUGGGCGUAAAGCGCGCGUAGGCGGUUUUUUAAGUCUGAUGUGAAAGCCCACGGCUCAACCGUGGAGGGUCAUUGGAAACUGGAAAACUUGAGUGCAGAAGAGGAAAGUGGAAUUCCAUGUGUAGCGGUGAAAUGCGCAGAGAUAUGGAGGAACACCAGUGGCGAAGGCGACUUUCUGGUCUGUAACUGACGCUGAUGUGCGAAAGCGUGGGGAUCAAACAGG